Molecule: transfer RNA, 84 nt
Organism: Cladophialophora carrionii
Lineage: Eukaryota; Fungi; Ascomycota; Eurotiomycetes; Chaetothyriales; Herpotrichiellaceae
Rfam family: tRNA
About the family: Transfer RNA (tRNA) molecules are approximately 80 nucleotides in length.
Source: Rfam
GGCUGAAUGGUUUAGUGGUAUAAUUCUUGCUUUGGGUCCUUCCUUGAAUGUAAGAGGUCCUGGGUUCAAUUCCCAGUUCAGCCC